RNAcentral lists this transfer RNA (64 nucleotides) under Metatropis longirostris. Its description in RNAcentral is "tRNA-Asp". It matches the Rfam family "tRNA". Rfam says of the family: Transfer RNA (tRNA) molecules are approximately 80 nucleotides in length. The record is from RNAcentral. Lineage: Eukaryota; Metazoa; Arthropoda; Insecta; Hemiptera; Berytidae.
AAAAAGUUAGUUUAAAAUAAAACAUUAACUUGUCAAGUUAAAAAUAUUAAAUUAAUACUUUUUA